This 1433-nucleotide long non-coding RNA is filed under the name Equus caballus (horse). RNAcentral's name for it is "lncRNA (ENSECAG00000047881.1)". Lineage: Eukaryota; Metazoa; Chordata; Mammalia; Perissodactyla; Equidae. The record is from RNAcentral.
CAUUAAAUAAAUUAUUUAUCAUGUUGGUCAACGUUUUGAGGAAUAUAGCUUAGAUAAACACAUUUUUAAGGUCAGCCACUCUAAGGGCUGGGUUUUAUAAAAACAGCCUCUCAGGAGCUUUAAUAAAUCUAACAAGAAAAAAAAAAUCAAGCACUUGUUUUCAUUACUGAAUCAUUUGCUAUUGCUGAAUAAUGGUCAUUCAAGAGGUAAGCUUAACCGGGAGGCCCUGAUAGCCACGCUGGGAAACCUGCAUAUGAUGAAAAAUCUAUGCUGUGGCAGGCACUGUCGGCUACACUCAGGUUUCUGUUAAAGCAGUCUGGUCCUUUGGUUGCAUUUUAAAUCAGAUAAAUGGACAGAGCUGGCUGAUUUGGGUCAUAAAAUUGUCAAAUGAAGAUAAAUUUAUUCCUACUCAAUGGGAAACUUCAGAGCGGAAUUAGAAUAUAUGUAAGUAAAAAAUAAUGUGUUUCUAUUCUCUCAAAAUAAACCGUGACCAGAUUCGUCAAGUGCAUUUAAUUCACCUCAUGGGUCCUCCAUCUUUUCAAAUUGCAGCCAAAGGCAUCUUUGGCAUCCAUUUCUAUUGCUAAAUGGCAGUCCUCAGCCAAAGAAGGCAUGGGAUGGAGAGCAAAGGCUGUUUGGAUUAGAAGAAAUGGAAAUGGGAGAAGUAAGAAGCCGGAGAGCUCUAAUGAGGAAGAGGGUGCAGGUGAGGGAGCCGCCGAGGGGCAGCUGUAAGGAAGGGAGAGCCAUGGAAGGAAGAAGGAGGAGCAGAAAUAACAAACGGAGAAAGUCCACCUUUGCAGGGACUGAGCAGGCACCAGCUCUGAGGCACUGCUCGCUGUGGCUCUGGUUUCAUUUUUGUGCAGUUCAUAAUUUGUCUAAACUUGAAGGGCUCUCAUGCCCACUGAAUGUGGCGCUGAGCUCCCUCUUAGUCUUGAAAGAAGAGCUAGGCUGGGAACGAGCCCGGAGCUUCUGAGUUGUCUCUUCUAAGGAUGGAACCUGCAGCAGAAUUUCAUGGCUUCAAAAAAGAAGAUACUUUCUACAUGAAAAUUGAUGACCCAUUGGAGUUGUCUUUCUCUUACUGGGCUUGGAUCCUUGAGACUGGUAUGCAAAUGGGCCUGAACUAGCUUAUUGGAGGAUGAGAGGCCACAUGGAGAACCAAAGUGACACAGCAGACAGCCUGUCAACUGCCAGACAUGUAAGAGAGACCAUUCUAGAUCAUCCAGCCACCAGCUGACCUAUCAGCUAACUACAGAUGCAUGCGGGUGACCAGCAGCAGAGAUCAACAGAGCCAGCUCAGAGCAGAAGACCACCCAGUCAAUCCAUAGAAUUGUGAGCUAAAUAACAGGUUGUUGUUUUAGACCACUAAGUUUUAGGGCGGUUUGUUAUACAGGAAAAGCUAAUUGAUAUAGGUGGGAUCCAUACUAGUCUUGUUGGGG